Molecule: ribosomal RNA, 2906 nt
Filed under: Enterobacter hormaechei
Lineage: Bacteria; Pseudomonadati; Pseudomonadota; Gammaproteobacteria; Enterobacterales; Enterobacteriaceae
Description: 23S ribosomal RNA
Rfam family: Bacterial large subunit ribosomal RNA
Source: RNAcentral
GGUUAAGCGACUAAGCGUACACGGUGGAUGCCCUGGCAGUCAGAGGCGAUGAAGGACGUGCUAAUCUGCGAAAAGCGCCGGCGAGGUGAUAUGAACCCUUGACCCGGCGAUGUCCGAAUGGGGAAACCCAGUGCAAUCCGUUGCACUAUCGUUAACUGAAUACAUAGGUUAACGAGGCGAACCGGGGGAACUGAAACAUCUAAGUACCCCGAGGAAAAGAAAUCAACCGAGAUUCCCCCAGUAGCGGCGAGCGAACGGGGAGCAGCCCGGAGUCUGAAUCAGCUUGUGUGUUAGUGGAACGGUCUGGAAAGUCCGACGGUACAGGGUGAUAGUCCCGUACACGAAAGCACACAUGCUGUGAACUCGAAGAGUAGGGCGGGACACGUGGUAUCCUGUCUGAAUAUGGGGGGACCAUCCUCCAAGGCUAAAUACUCCUGACUGACCGAUAGUGAACCAGUACCGUGAGGGAAAGGCGAAAAGAACCCCGGCGAGGGGAGUGAAAAAGAACCUGAAACCGUGUACGUACAAGCAGUGGGAGCCUCUUUAUGGGGUGACUGCGUACCUUUUGUAUAAUGGGUCAGCGACUUAUAUUCUGUAGCAAGGUUAACCGUAUAGGGGAGCCGAAGGGAAACCGAGUCUUAACUGGGCGUUAAGUUGCAGGGUAUAGACCCGAAACCCGGUGAUCUAGCCAUGGGCAGGUUGAAGGUUGGGUAACACUAACUGGAGGACCGAACCGACUAAUGUUGAAAAAUUAGCGGAUGACCUGUGGCUGGGGGUGAAAGGCCAAUCAAACCGGGAGAUAGCUGGUUCUCCCCGAAAGCUAUUUAGGUAGCGCCUCGUGAACUCAUCUUCGGGGGUAGAGCACUGUUUCGGCUAGGGGGCCAUCCCGGCUUACCAACCCGAUGCAAACUACGAAUACCGAAGAAUGUUAUCACGGGAGACACACGGCGGGUGCUAACGUCCGUCGUGAAGAGGGAAACAACCCAGACCGCCAGCUAAGGUCCCAAAGUCAUGGUUAAGUGGGAAACGAUGUGGGAAGGCACAGACAGCCAGGAUGUUGGCUUAGAAGCAGCCAUCAUUUAAAGAAAGCGUAAUAGCUCACUGGUCGAGUCGGCCUGCGCGGAAGAUGUAACGGGGCUAAACCAUGCACCGAAGCUGCGGCAGCGACACUUAUGUGUUGUUGGGUAGGGGAGCGUUCUGUAAGCCGUUGAAGGUGUGCUGUGAGGCAUGCUGGAGGUAUCAGAAGUGCGAAUGCUGACAUAAGUAACGAUAAAGCGGGUGAAAAGCCCGCUCGCCGGAAGACCAAGGGUUCCUGUCCAACGUUAAUCGGGGCAGGGUGAGUCGACCCCUAAGGCGAGGCCGAAAGGCGUAGUCGAUGGGAAACAGGUUAAUAUUCCUGUACUUGGUGUUACUGCGAAGGGGGGACGGAGAAGGCUAUGUCAGCCGGGCGACGGUUGUCCCGGUUUAAGCAUGUAGGCGGAGGUUCCAGGUAAAUCCGGUACCUUAUUAACGCUGAGGUGUGAUGACGAGGCACUACGGUGCUGAAGUGAUAAAUGCCCUGCUUCCAGGAAAAGCCUCUAAGCAUCAGGUAACACGAAAUCGUACCCCAAACCGACACAGGUGGUCAGGUAGAGAAUACCAAGGCGCUUGAGAGAACUCGGGUGAAGGAACUAGGCAAAAUGGUGCCGUAACUUCGGGAGAAGGCACGCUGAUAUGUAGGUGAAGCCCCUGCGGGCGGAGCUGAAAUCAGUCGAAGAUACCAGCUGGCUGCAACUGUUUAUUAAAAACACAGCACUGUGCAAACACGAAAGUGGACGUAUACGGUGUGACGCCUGCCCGGUGCCGGAAGGUUAAUUGAUGGGGUUAGCGGCAACGCGAAGCUCUUGAUCGAAGCCCCGGUAAACGGCGGCCGUAACUAUAACGGUCCUAAGGUAGCGAAAUUCCUUGUCGGGUAAGUUCCGACCUGCACGAAUGGCGUAAUGAUGGCCAGGCUGUCUCCACCCGAGACUCAGUGAAAUUGAACUCGCUGUGAAGAUGCAGUGUACCCGCGGCAAGACGGAAAGACCCCGUGAACCUUUACUAUAGCUUGACACUGAACACUGGUCCUUGAUGUGUAGGAUAGGUGGGAGGCUUUGAAGCGUGGACGCCAGUCUGCGUGGAGCCAACCUUGAAAUACCACCCUUUAAUGGCUGGUGUUCUAACGUGGACCCGUUACCCGGGUUGCGGACAGUGUCUGGUGGGUAGUUUGACUGGGGCGGUCUCCUCCCAAAGAGUAACGGAGGAGCACGAAGGUUGGCUAAUCCUGGUCGGACAUCAGGAGGUUAGUGCAAUGGCAUAAGCCAGCUUGACUGCGAGCGUGACGGCGCGAGCAGGUGCGAAAGCAGGUCAUAGUGAUCCGGUGGUUCUGAAUGGAAGGGCCAUCGCUCAACGGAUAAAAGGUACUCCGGGGAUAACAGGCUGAUACCGCCCAAGAGUUCAUAUCGACGGCGGUGUUUGGCACCUCGAUGUCGGCUCAUCACAUCCUGGGGCUGAAGUAGGUCCCAAGGGUAUGGCUGUUCGCCAUUUAAAGUGGUACGCGAGCUGGGUUUAGAACGUCGUGAGACAGUUCGGUCCCUAUCUGCCGUGGGCGCUGGAGAAUUGAGGGGGGCUGCUCCUAGUACGAGAGGACCGGAGUGGACGCAUCACUGGUGUUCGGGUUGUCAUGCCAAUGGCACUGCCCGGUAGCUAAAUGCGGAAGAGAUAAGUGCUGAAAGCAUCUAAGCACGAAACUUGCCCCGAGAUGAGUUCUCCCUGAGACUUUAAGUCUCCUGAAGGAACGUUGAAGACGACGACGUUGAUAGGUCGGGUGUGUAAGCGCAGCGAUGCGUUGAGCUAACCGAUACUAAUGAACCGUGAGGCUUAACCUU